UACAGAGGUGGCAAGCGUUGUUCGGAAUUACUGGGCGUAAAGGGCGCGUAGGCGGCCUUCUAAGUCAGACGUGAAAUCCCCCGGCUUAACCUGGGAACUGCGUCUGAUACUGGGAGGCUUGAGUAUGGGAGAGGGAUGUAGAAUUCCAGGUGUAGCAGUGAAAUGCGUAGAUAUCUGGAGGAAUACCGGUGGCGAAGGCGGCAUCCUGGACCAUAACUGACGCUGAGGCGCGAAAGCUAGGGGAGCAAACGGG
RNAcentral lists this ribosomal RNA (253 nucleotides) under uncultured bacterium. RNAcentral describes it as "partial 16S ribosomal RNA". It matches the Rfam family "Bacterial small subunit ribosomal RNA", at positions 524 to 776 of the family's 1533-position model. The record is from RNAcentral.